This 515-nucleotide ribosomal RNA is filed under the name uncultured bacterium. RNAcentral describes it as "bacterial SSU rRNA". It matches the Rfam family "Bacterial small subunit ribosomal RNA", at positions 29 to 520 of the family's 1533-position model. The record is from RNAcentral.
AGCGAACGUUAGCGGCGGGCCUAACACAUGCAAGUCGAACGCGAAAGGUCUUCGGACUGAGUAGAGUGGCGCACGGGUGAGUAACACGUAGGUAAUCUACCCUUUGGCGGGGGAUAACGUUCCGAAAGGAGCGCUAAUACCGCAUAAGACCACGGAGUCUCCGGACGCUGUGGGAAAAGGUGGCCUCUUCUUGAAAGCUACCACCGAAGGAUGAGCCUGCGUCCCAUCAGCUAGUUGGUAAGGUAAUGGCUUACCAAGGCGAAGACGGGUAGCUGGUUUGAGAGAAUGAUCAGCCACACUGGCACUGGAACACGGGCCAGACUCCUACGGGAGGCAGCAGUGAGGAAUAUUGGGCAAUGGGCGAAAGCCUGACCCAGCCACGCCGCGUGAGUGAUGAAGGCCCUCGGGUCGUAAAGGCUCUGUGGAGAGGGACGAAAACCCUGGUUUCAAAUAGGCUCCAGGCUUGACGGUACCUCUUUAGCAAGCACCGGCUAACUCUGUGCCAGCAGCCGCGG